AGCAGUUGUCUAUGGUGGAUCCAUCUCAAAUGAGUUACAGUGAGAAACUAGCAUUUUGGAUUAACCUGUAUAAUGCUUUGAUUAUGCAUGCAUAUUUAGCAUAUGGAGUUCCGAGAGAUGAAAUCAAACUAGCAAAAGCAUGAUAAUGUGCAGGCUGCCUACACCGUUGGAGGACUCUCAGUGAGUGUGGCUGACAUAGAAUGCACUGUUCUAAAGAUGAUCCGGCCACUUACCGACCACAAAUUGCUGUGGUUUUGGCGCUUAAGAAAUUCAAGGCUUCUGUUGAACUGCAGAAGUAUAUGAUUGAUCGUCCCGAGCCUCUGCUUCAUUUUGCUUUGAGUUAUGAGUUGCAUUCUUUACCUGCGGUGAGGGUUUUCAGGCCUGAAAACACGAACGAGUUGCUAAACGAUCAAUGAAAGAUUACAUCCAGGCAUCCGUUGGCAUCAGUAACAAAGGGAAACUAUUGGUGCCGAAAUUGUUGCAUUGCUCCACCAAAGGAACGGUGGAAGAGUCGGUUUUACCCGAAUGGGUUUGUCAGUUCUUAUCACCACAGCAAGCUUCCAUGGUUAGGAGCUGUGAAUCAGGUAAUACGUGGAGGCUCCUAGGUGCUCCAGUCUUCUCCGUCCUACCGUUUGAUUCGAGGUUCCGGUUUCUCUUCCUUUUGAUGAUAAGACCAGCCACCUUUCAAAA
Long non-coding RNA from Hibiscus syriacus, 690 nucleotides. RefSeq lists it as uncharacterized. The record is from RefSeq and is a predicted model, not a curated record. NCBI's taxonomy places the organism in Eukaryota, Viridiplantae, Streptophyta, Magnoliopsida, Malvales, Malvaceae. The transcript has 5 exons.